This 1838-nucleotide long non-coding RNA is filed under the name Gallus gallus (chicken). RNAcentral's name for it is "lncRNA (ENSGALG00010004419.1)". The record is from RNAcentral. Lineage: Eukaryota; Metazoa; Chordata; Aves; Galliformes; Phasianidae.
CUGCGCAUUAUCCUAUCAAGCAUCAGAAGCCAUUUCUGUGGGAUAUUUGUCAACCUACGAAGUCCUUUUAGAACAAAUGAAAUGGGCAGCGAAUUACAAAAAUGUCAUUCUCUAAAGGAAAUGGAUGAAGGCUUUUGUUCUCCAGUAAUAAAUAGAUGCCAUAGCCUUAUAACACUAUUUUUUUAUUACGUUUGACAGGGUUACUAUUUCCAGUUCAUUAAGGAAACAGCUUGAAAACUAUUUUUUCAUAUGCUUUUAAAAAUAAUGUUUUCUCAGUAAUAAAUAUAAGCAAUAGCUCACAUAACGUUAACUUCAACAUCAAGAUUCAUUUCAAGGUAGCUGUACUAGGCAUUACCGUAUAUAUAAUGAAAAGUUUUAAGUAUAUCUUUUUUUUUCCAGCAUAUAUAGACAAUUAUUUAGCUGGCAGGCGGUGAGUCUAUAAGCAGUAAUGCAUGUCCUCAGUUUUUAAAUGAAUCUAGUAUUGUUUUUAUGUUUUGGCAAACCAAUGAUCUUGUUCAUGAUGGUCUCAUAGAACCUCAUGAUAUAUAUGCCAUAGGCUAAGGUCAAGCAAAGGAAUAAUAACUCACCUCUUUAAAUGAAUGCUUCAAAGUAAAUCUUCUAUUUUAAUAGCAGUAAACAGAGGUCAGGAUGACACUCUCCCAGGCUUGAGAAUAGAGCCUGUGUGUUAAUAUUCUCUAAGAAUUACAGCUGCAGCUCUGGGUGACAAAAUGUUUGCUAAAGCAUGUCCCCGAUAAAAUAUUUUACAGUACUUCAAAUGGCACUAUGUAUUUGAAAUUUUACAAAAAGCUGAACUGAGACAUGCAUGUAAAAAUACAUCUUAUGAUACUAUUGUUGUUUUCCUUCGCUUUUAAAUACUGUGUUAAAAUGCUCCAUAAAGGACCAUUAACUGUUUUUGCACGCAGAAAGUUCCAUGUUAACUGGCUGAAAAUAUUAAGUGAUAUAGGAUAAAUCCAUAGUAGUGAACAUAUCUGCUCUGUCAGUCAAAGUAUUUAAUGUGUAAGGUGCAUUUCUCUCAUCAUCCACUGAUCAAUUAUUAAGGGAACAUUUUAUUUACAUCAAAAUGCAGAAUUUCUAAUGUUUACCCUCGUUUUUGCCAGUAGAAUAUUCUUUCAAGUACUAUAUUGCUGACACUAGUUAUUGUUGAUUACAAGUGAACAUUUUGUUAAUAAGAAGAACGCAGAAUUGAUUUUGCAGGAAGAUAAAUCAGUAAACCAGACCGUUAACUGCUCCCCUGCUUUGUAACUAUUUCACUAAUUCUAGACUAAUUAUAAUCAGAUCUUUAUUAGUUAGAUCAUCUCAGAGUUUACGCUGGACUCGGAUCAAAUGUAGGGUGAACAGUGAAGAAUAUACUGAUAAAUACACUCCUUCAUUGCAGUGUAUUUUUCAAGACACACACCAAUGCACUUUUCAGAUUAGGCUCUGUCCCUUAGUUACCAUCAGUCAGACAGAGACAACUAAACUUUAUGAUGAACAGCUCUGGACAGUCCAGCACGUUCUCUUUCUCCCACCACACACCAGACCUGUGCUCUUUCCUGUGUGUCCUCCCAUCCUCAGGUGAGCUCGGACUCCUUCAGAUGAACCAACCAGCUGGACCCUGGCCAUGUGUCUUUCUGCGUGCAGGACUGGCAGCUUCAGUUAUCUCUUUAGCUCAGGCACCAACCCUGGAAUAUUGGAAGCAUUUCCUCCAUGCUUACUUGGACAGGCAGUAAGACUGAGAACUGUAUCCAGAUGAACUUCCUUUUGUGCAGCCAUUUUUGAUGGUGAGGAAAGCUGAAGCAACCAGAAUUACUCUUGAUUUUAGACUAAACUGAUGAAAU